UUACAGAGUCAGUCAAUACAUUGACUUUGAGAGAGCAACGUCUCUUAAGAGGGUAAAGCGGCGUAAAAGACGACCGCUAGUAGGAUGAACUGUUAUUCUUUCAAUGGUUCAGACUGCGACACCGUCAAAUUGCGGGGAGUUCCUAAAGCUUGCACUACUAAGCGGUCCUUGAAAUAGGGUCGUGGCCGGGGUAAUGACCUAGGGUACAGUAAAAACGUGCAAGAUGUAACAAUGGAUAAUCCGCAGCCAAGCUCUAAGUCUGCCUUGAAGAGUCAGAUAUGGGUGUAGUUCAACGACUAAAUAAAUAGUGGUGGGUUCCGGUAGAAACGCGGUUUGCGUACUCUGCCCGGGCUUAAGAUAUAAUCUGGCCUUCUGUGAAAGCAGGAG
This is a non-coding RNA of Fusarium venenatum, 387 nucleotides long. Lineage: Eukaryota; Fungi; Ascomycota; Sordariomycetes; Hypocreales; Nectriaceae. The record is from RefSeq and is a predicted model, not a curated record.